RNAcentral lists this ribosomal RNA (497 nucleotides) under uncultured bacterium. RNAcentral's name for it is "partial 16S ribosomal RNA". It matches the Rfam family "Bacterial small subunit ribosomal RNA", at positions 28 to 507 of the family's 1533-position model. The record is from RNAcentral.
GAUGAACGCUGGCGGCGUGCCUAAUACAUGCAAGUCGAGCGAACGGACGAGAAGCUUGCUUCUCUGAUGUUAGCGGCGGACGGGUGAGUAACACGUGGAUAACCUACCUAUAAGACUGGGAUAACUUCGGGAAACCGGCGCUAAUACCGGAUAAUAUUUUGAACCGCAUGGUUCAAAAGUGAAAGACGGUCUUGCUGUCACUUAUAGAUGGAUCCGCGCUGCAUUAGCUAGUUGGUAAGGUAACGGCUUACCAAGGCAACGAUGCAUAGCCGACCUGAGAGGGUGAUCGGCCACACUGGAACGGAGACACGGUCCAGACUCCUACGGGAGGCAGCAGUAGGGAAUCUUCCGCAAUGGGCGAAAGCCUGACGGAGCAACGCCGCGUGAGUGAUGAAGGUCUUCGGAUCGUAAAACUCUGUUAUUAGGGAAGAACAGAUGUGUAAGUAACUGUGCACAUCUUGACGGUACCUAAUCAGAAAGCCACGGCUAACUACGUG